This 497-nucleotide ribosomal RNA is filed under the name uncultured bacterium. RNAcentral describes it as "partial 16S ribosomal RNA". It matches the Rfam family "Bacterial small subunit ribosomal RNA", at positions 28 to 507 of the family's 1533-position model. The record is from RNAcentral.
GAUGAACGCUGGCGGCGUGCCUAACACAUGCAAGUCGAGCGAACGGACGAGAAGCUUGCUUCUCUGAUGUUAGCGGCGGACGGGCGAGUAACACGUGGAUAACCUACCUAUAAGACUGGGAUAACUUCGGGAAACCGGAGCUAAUACCGGAUAAUAUUUUGAACCGCAUGGUUCAAAAGUGAAAGACGGUCUUGCUGUCACUUAUAGAUGGAUCCGCGCUGCAUUAGCUAGUUGGUAAGGUAACGGCUUACCAAGGCAACUAUGCAUAGCCGACCUGAGAGGGUGAUCGGCCACACUGGACAUGAGUCGCGGUCCAGACUCCUAGGGUAGGCAGCAGUAGGGUCUCUUCCGCAAGGGGCGAAAGCCUAACGUUGCAACGUCGCGUGAGUGAUAGAAGUCUUCGGAGCGUAAGUCUCUGUUAUUAGGGAACAACAUAUGUGUAAGUGACUGUGAACUUCUUGACGGUACCCAAUCAGGAAGCCACGGCUAACUACGUG